UGAUACCCUGCGGGAGCCAGUCGACCUCCACGGAAGUGCGAAGUGUGGAAGUCAGGGAACCCGGUGAGAGUCCGGGACUGACGCGCAGCGGUAUGGGUGACGGGCGGAGCACCGAGAAAUCGGUACAGCCACUGGAUCUUCGGGUCCGGGAAGGCGCUCCGCACCGGAGGAUCCCGAGUCCGAAGACCUGCUGGCCCUUGCGACAACCG
This 209-nucleotide non-coding RNA is filed under the name Nocardioides sp. RNAcentral also lists the same sequence under 1 other name. Lineage: Bacteria; Bacillati; Actinomycetota; Actinomycetes; Propionibacteriales; Nocardioidaceae. The record is from RNAcentral.